GGCGCGUGCCUAACACAUGCAAGUCAACUUGACUGAAGGAGCAAUCUGACAGUAGAGUGGCGCAAGGGUGCGUAACGCGUAAGUAACUUGCCCCAAGGUAAGGAAUAACGUCGAGAAAUCGGCGCUAAUACCUCAUAAUGCAGCGGAUCCGCAUGGAUAUGUUGUUAAAGGUUUACCGCCUUGGGAUAGGCUUGCGUCUGAUUAGUUAGUUGGUGUGGUAACGGCACACCAAGGCUACGAUCAGUAACUGGUCUGAGAGGAUGAUCAGUCACACUGGAACUGAGACACGGUCCAGACUCCUACGGGAGGCAGCAGUGAGGAAUAUUGGGCAAUGCUCGAAAGAGUGACCCAGCAACGCCGCGUGGAGGAUGAAGGUAUUCUAUAUCGUAAACUCCUGUGAGAGCAGACGAAAGACAGAUUAUUAAUCUGGAUGACUGUAUGCUCAGAGGAAGCCCCGGCUAACUACGUG
This 469-nucleotide ribosomal RNA is filed under the name uncultured bacterium. Its description in RNAcentral is "bacterial SSU rRNA". It matches the Rfam family "Bacterial small subunit ribosomal RNA", at positions 38 to 507 of the family's 1533-position model. The record is from RNAcentral.